CUCUCUCUCUCUCUCUCUCUCUCUCUCUCUCUUUCUCUUCCUUCCUCUUCCUUUGGCUUUUUGUCCUCAACUGCAUGGAUCGCUUGUGACCUAUAAGCCGCCGUCGACUUUGUUAAGAAAGCAUAAAGGGAUCCCUCGUGGCCAUCAUCAACCGUCGAACGAGGAGGCGGUUGUGUUUUAGUUUGUUCCUGGGUGAGUGGUUCUGUAUGCUUAAGUUAUGUCGUGGACCUUGGAUUUCUCUGUACGAAUUCAAAGGCAAUACAGUCGCGAAAGCAGCAAGAUAAUGUGGAUGGCGCUGGACUAUGGACGCCCUGUGGCAAACCGGACGACGAUGAUCUCAGCUUGUCUAUGUCAUAAUGUCAUGGCUGGAAUCUGUGAAGCUUCGGAUGUACUAGAGCUGUGGAUAGGACAGCGGACUUGGGAUCCAUGAUUUAUUCUCUGGAGUUCUCCGUGGUUCGAUUCUUUAUUCUUGCAAUUAUGUGAUAUGCAUACAUGAAAAUGUUCUCCACGAGUAUUUUGCAAUCGUCAUUGAGGUCAUUGCUGGACAGGCAAGAAAAGUUGUUGGGGCAUCAUCCAUGGAGAAUGGUAAUCAACUCUUGUUAAAACUAUUCUUAUUUUGUAAAAAUCUUAUUGUUUUUUUUUUUGAAGCUUUGAUUCUUGUAUCUAUUACUGCCUAUAGCUAAUUUGCGCUGGAUUGUUUUUAUGUUUUGAGAUUGAUUCUGUAGUUUUGAGGUUUGUUGUUUCCUUGUUUAGCUUCCGUAUCAAAAGUGCCAUAGCUGCUGCUUCA
This is a non-coding RNA of Elaeis guineensis (African oil palm), 787 nucleotides long. The record is from RefSeq and is a predicted model, not a curated record. Lineage: Eukaryota; Viridiplantae; Streptophyta; Magnoliopsida; Arecales; Arecaceae.